GGGUGAGAGGGUGAUCUGACUGUGACAUCCGUCACCCCUUUGAUCNCCACAGUUGAAUUGACUGGUCUGGCUAGCUAGUCAGGUGUCUGCUUCUUUUCUUACCACUCCAUGUGCAUCCCUCCUGAGUCUGCAUGGUUGGUGCAAGAGGAUGGCCAUCCUACCUAGAAGGAGUGUAUCAUUCUUCAGUCAAGGAUAUGUGAUAGCUGCACUUCCCUGAUAGAAGCUACAGGGGCUGUUAGAAAUUUAGACAACUUAGUAGACCACUCUGAUGUUCAGAAAGGGCCAUUUCAACAAGUAAACCUUGCUAUGCUGU
Molecule: small nuclear RNA, 313 nt
Filed under: Salvator merianae (Argentine black and white tegu)
Lineage: Eukaryota; Metazoa; Chordata; Lepidosauria; Squamata; Teiidae
Description: 7SK RNA (ENSSMRG00000015445.1)
Rfam family: 7SK RNA
About the family: 7SK was discovered as an abundant small nuclear RNA in the mid-70s but a possible function has only recently been suggested.
Source: RNAcentral